Molecule: long non-coding RNA, 3490 nt
Organism: Magallana angulata
Lineage: Eukaryota; Metazoa; Mollusca; Bivalvia; Ostreida; Ostreidae
Exons: 4
Source: RefSeq, a predicted model, not a curated record
AAUAAUGAGAAUAUAUAAAACAGAUUAAAAAAUCCUUGCCUCAAAUCAAUAUUUUAAGUUUUAUUUUGACAACAAAGUUACAGUGAAAAGGAUCACGUGUUCUCUGUAUAUAGUUCUUAGAUUUGUGACGGGUAAGGUCACAACAUAAAUUUUCUUUAAAUUAUAAAGACUUUAUAAACCUUUUUGUUGCUGUUGAUAUUAUUUCCAAUAAAUGGAACUUAUAAUUGAUAGAAAAUAAGAAAUUAGACGAGUACUUUGCUCUCUGUUAAUCCACUUGUUCUAGUUUUAUUGCUAUCAUGAAUCGUCUUAUAAAGCAUAUAUGCAUUUGUAAUUAAAAUACAUUUUUCAUAAAUCAGUUAAAUUUUAUUUUGAAGAUCUCUAUAAAAAUAAAAUAUACAUCAUUUCAUUGCCAAAGGAAGUCAAUUUGAUUAUGUUGUAAUUUGAGAUCUGGAAACGACAUCGGAGCAGAGGACGGUGUUUGCAAAAACAGGAGGGUUAGGCAUAAUAGAGAAGAUGAAUUAGGACGAGAAUUCCGGCAAAUGCUGGCACGCGAAGAAACCGUUUCCUUAUGGCAAAUUAUCCAACAACACAGGGCAUCGAAUUUCGAAGAGCAAUAAAAAAAUUGUUCCAAACAUCUUAUUUUUAAAAAAAAUCUUUUUUUUAUUGAAUUACAAUGCUUCCUUGCAGACAUGGGCGUUUGAAUUUAGUAAUCGUGUAAAUAUUAUUAAAGAAUAUUGGAAUAAUAAACUAUUUGAACAUUUCUUAGCGAGUUCUUUAAAAAAUUAUAAAUAGGCAUCUUUUCAUUUAGAAUUGUAUUUUUUAACGUCAUUUCAUCUUAUUUCACAUUCAUUUAUAUAUAUUGUUUCGUCCAUAAACUAUAAAAUUAGAAAAGGAAAUAUUCAAAUUAUUUUGGGCUUAAAAUUUAAACCUUUUCCUAUAUCUUCACACUGGGCUCUUCAUGUAAAGGAGUUAUACAUUGCCUAAGAGAUGGCCACGACUACCCAUCCCUCUAAAAGGUUCUAUCUAUUCAAUACAAUAACCAACAGUUUACUCGUCGCUCGGAGGAAUAACAUUGCUUAUCUUUUAUAUGAACCAAACUUUGUACACAUAUUUUUUAAAUCAUUUAAUGGUUUUACAUCAAUAUAUGUUCUGAUCAGUUGCACAUGUAUGCUUUUUCUACUUGUAUUGUAGCCAAAAUGACAAAGAAGUAUAAGCCUGAACUACUUAAAUCAAUUAUCAACCUAUUUCAAGAUAGAUAAAAGUUACUGUCAUGAAUAACUUUGGACGAGCAUCCAGCAACUAUUUGGUCUUGAUGACAAAGCGUCAAAGCAAACAACAAUAAACCCGGCCCAAUAUGAUGACCUAGAUUUUUUAACGGUUAAUAGGGUAGCUGACCUUGAUAGAGUCAGUGCGACACGGUGAUAGAUAAAUGAGCAUGACCCUAAUGUCCCAUAUAGCAGUCAGGGGUUAAAUUUAAAUAUAUGCCCCAGCUUAUAUGGUAGGCUAAACUAAACCAGGAAGUUUAUUUCAAUUGGUUGAAAUUUCCAACCAAUUGAAUUAAAUGUAAAUAUCAACAUAAAAAUAUGGAAUACAUUAGGUUUGAUAAAAUCCUUUAGAUUGAUAUGUAUUGUAUGUAUUGCAAAAACUAAUUUUAAAAGAAUAUAACAUCAACAGAUAAAAUACAAAUAGUGGCCAUUCAGUUUUAUCUGGUUUUACAAUUCCCUUAAUUAUUUCAGCUAACAAAAUUAAUCAAUUCUUGUCAUUGUUAUUUCGAUAGUUCCUAGAUUAUUUCUAUUGGUCAAAAAUUGAACAGAUCACAUUUUGUUGUUCAACAGAUGAAAUGUCGUAAAGCAGUAUUUUAUUUCUUGUGCACAUUUGUGAUAAAGUUAAAUCGAGAAUUGAAAUGACAUGUAUUGCAAAAAAGAUGCCAUGAAGAAUUCAUUGUUAAAUAUAAUAUACCAUUUCGUCGGGAUACUGAUUUUCUUACAUUUAGAAGACGUGAUAAUUGAGCAAUCUUGAUCAUCUGUAGAUCAGUGGACACACUUGGGACAGUUUUCCCGAAUGCAGUGGUCAGUCACAAAUGCUGGUUUUAAACUCUGGGACUCGUGAUCCAUUUUGCAGAAGAAAAACGAGUGAAACUAAAAAACUACAAAUGAACUCCAAACUUGCACUUGCACUGAAUAAUGAAAAUUAGAACUGACAGUCAUAAAAUUCAGUCGCUAUACAGACACGCAAGAUUUAGCGCCAUUUUGUUAGACAGAGAGCUAUAUAUAAAUUUUUCGCCGGCAUGUCACUGGAAAUUUCUUUAAAUGUGUGCAAGGACGACCGAUUUCGAUAUCGGCCUUGAGGUUAUGUUUCAAAAUAUCUAAAUUUGUAUUUGCAUCGACGCAAAUAGAUUAAAUAUAGUGUAAUUAUAGGUCAUCCAUUUUCAGAAAAAUGCAUUUAUGCACAUGAAGUAGACCUCAUGUCUGUCAAUACACAUGUGAGGUAUGUUAAAGGAAAACUAACCAUGCCAUAUCAUAUUGUGAAAAAUUGCGAAUACUAUUGAACUCUAAGGUAAGGUCAACAUUCAUUUUUCAUUCGGAAAGAUUUUUGCACUUUAUUUUAAAACAUGGACAGUGUUGGUCAAACAUGCAACCAAAAACAAUGCCCUUAAAUGUUGCCUCCGAAGGGUGGGGGCUGAGAAAAUCAAUCAAAGCAGAUUGACAGAUGUCGUUGGACAAUUUCCACGAACUAGAUGAAUUCCGGGAACUCUGUGUUGGUCCUAGUUUUUGUUAGUGUCAUUAGCAAUGGCCUGGGGACCCCGUUGUCUACCUGGGUACUUGAGACACAUAAACAUAUCUACAAUACCUUUAUAAUUAGUUUAGAAAUGUUUGCACAACGGGGUCAAGUAUAUCACGUAGGUGUAAGGUGAUCAGUCUCAACGCACUAGAAAUUUGAAAAUUAACAGAUCACAGGGAGCUUAGACACCUUUGCCAACACAGCUAGAGUUAUCCUUCCUUAAAAUUGAAACUUUUUAUCAUGAUUAUGAAUAUCUUUAAUUUAGAAAUGUAUAAAAUGGUCAGGUAUAGUGUAAAAUGAUCAACAGCAACAAAAGAUUUUUAUAAAAAUAGAUCUUCGAAAGCUGAAACAUUUGCCAACACAGCUUUGAGUUAUCUUUCCUUAUAAUUGAAAUGCACAGGAAUAUUUUUAAUAAAUAUUAAUGUACUAUCUUUUAAAACACAUGUCUUUUGAUUUUACACAUUUCAGAUACAUACUAUUUGGUGGUUCCUGAAGAAGGAAGAGCCAGGAAUUGUUCUUCAUCUACAAAGAAAAGAAUAUUUUAUACAUUCUUUAUUAAAAAUGGCCACUAUGCAUAGGAAAGGAAAAAAUAUACAUAUCAUUUUAUCUUACAACUUAUAUUUAUUUUUUUGAAAUAUAUAAUAUCAAUACAUGUAUGAAUGUAUGAACCUUAACUGAACUUCAAAUAAUAAUAAUUUAUAGACUAAUA